GAUGAACGCUGGCGGCGUGCCUAAUACAUGCAAGUCGAGCGAACAGAUGAGGAGCUUGCUCCUCUGACGUUAGCGGCGGACGGGUGAGUAACACGUGGAUAACCUACCUAUAAGACUGGGAUAACUUCGGGAAACCGGAGCUAAUACCGGAUAAUAUAUUGAACCGCAUGGUUCAAUAGUGAAAGACGGUUUUGCUGUCACUUAUAGAUGGAUCCGCGCCGCAUUAGCUAGUUGGUAAGGUAACGGCUUACCAAGGCAACGAUGCGUAGCCGACCUGAGAGGGUGAUCGGCCACACUGGAACUGAGACACGGUCCAGACUCCUACGGGAGGCAGCAGUAGGGAGUCUGCCGCAAUGGGCGAAAGCCUGACGGAGCAACGCCGCGUGAGUGAGGAAGGUCUUCGGAUCGUAAAACUCCGUUAUUAGGGAAGAACAAAUGUGUAAGUAACGAUGCACGUCUGGACGGUACCUAAUCAGAAAGCCAGGGCUAACUACGU
RNAcentral lists this ribosomal RNA (496 nucleotides) under uncultured bacterium. RNAcentral describes it as "partial 16S ribosomal RNA". It matches the Rfam family "Bacterial small subunit ribosomal RNA", at positions 28 to 506 of the family's 1533-position model. The record is from RNAcentral.